RNAcentral lists this transfer RNA (73 nucleotides) under Glossobalanus marginatus. Its description in RNAcentral is "tRNA-Leu". It matches the Rfam family "tRNA". Rfam says of the family: Transfer RNA (tRNA) molecules are approximately 80 nucleotides in length. Lineage: Eukaryota; Metazoa; Hemichordata; Enteropneusta; Ptychoderidae. The record is from RNAcentral.
ACUAUUAUAGCAGAACGGUUAAUGCAGAAGGCCUAAGCCCUUCCUCCUAUAGGUUCAAUUCCUAUUAAUAGUU